UCAGAGAGUGUGUCCACGUAGGACAAUUAAAUCAUCCAAUCAGAGAACAGCUCUCCGCCACGUCAUAUACGCAUGACAAAUUCUAAUUUCCCCAAAAUCGAAUCUCGAUCCCUUUCUCUUCGUCUUCUCCGUCUGCUAUUUUAGAUCAAAACCAACUUGCUCGACUGGUCUUGCAGCGACGAAUCACCCGCGAGGCAUAGUCUUAUCUUCCGCGGUUUGAUCCCUGUGCUGUACGCAGGGUCGGCAAGAGCCUCGCACGAUGAAUCGACAGAAGAAGCUAUUGAGUUUGCGACUCAGCAGGGGAAAGAGAAGGAGCUGUGCAAGACUGGAGACUCCGUUGUUGCUCUACUCCGAGUUGGGAACGCUUCCCUAAUCAAGAUCUUGACCGUUAAGUGAUGAUGAUUAGGAAAAAUCCCGUUUUUGGCGUCUGGCGUUUGGAGGAAACGCAACUAUAUACGUUUUUCUUAAUAUGAAUUUUGUUCAAGAUUUGUGAUUAAAAUCUUGAGAUAGAAAACUCAAAUUCUCUUUCUUGAUAAUUACAACUGUGGUGACCCGUGUGAAUCCACUUACGGUUUUUUUUUUCUGGAUACUCAGGUGGUUGUAUGGAACUAAUGAAUCGUACACGUAUCUCUACUAUCAUGACUUUUUUUUGUUUUUUUGUUUUGUUUUGGUGAAGUUUGAUGCUUUGGUUGCAGCCCUUCCGUUAUCAGACUGAGGUGAAGAAACUCAGUUGAAAAGAAUUGUUGAACUCCUGGUAAUAUAUGUCUCACUCACUGAUAAGUUGAGCUCGAUAAAUAAAUCAUUGCAUGUUCCCUUCUAUGCUAUUUUUCUUCAGGUGGAAAAUGAUGUUAUUGGCCAAGAGCUCUCUAACGAUUUACAUCUAUUCUGAUCCAACUGCUGCGGAACGUUUGUAUCGAAGAAAGAUGUCAUGUAGAAAAAGUCAUCAGCUGGGCAAGCACAAGGUUUAACAACCACUAAACCACUCAGUUGAGACAGUAGGAUCUCUUUCGUGUUGAUCAUACAAGCUUGCGAUAUAGAGCUAGAAGACAAAGCCAGAGAAGUAGCACAGCUGAAAACAGAGAGGUAGAGCUAGAGAGAAUUACGAGGCUGAAGCAUGUAGAGGCAGACAUAUCCCCAGCUAAAAGUUAACGAUGCAAAGCGGAGGCUGAUUGGUCGAUUAUUAAGGGCAUGGACAAUAUUCAAACGCUGGAUGCAAAAUUGUUUUCAGUAUUUUAUUUGCUAACGCCACCGUAUGUGCAGGUUGCAGAGUUUAAAUGCCUACUCGGUGUUAAAGCUAAUACCAAAGAAUGAAUACUAUGACAAAACUCUCCAGCUUCCAAAAGAAUUUGAUGCUACAACUGCUUGGUGACAGUGCACCAGUGUUGGAAGGAUCCUAGGUGCUUUUUUAUACAACUAAAUAAAUGUCUAAUACCAACCCGAGGAUGCUGUACAUUGACAAUGUUGAUGAUGAAACGAAAGAUUCCGAGGACGAUUUAGAUGAGAACUUUCAUGGGGAGGACAUGCCUGCAUCCCACUGCAAUGUCGACGAGUUUGACUAGAAAAAAAUUAUCAUUGUUUUUUAUAUCUCUGUUCAGGGGAAGAGAAAGAUUUGGCUCAACAGAUGCUGCCGCCAACAUAUUUUUUUAUCCUUCUUUUCGCUUCGGUACAUCCACAACACAUAUUCUAUAAUUGUUAGUUUGUUUUUCUCUCCUCAGGUCUCAUUCAUCUUCUGUCUAUUUGGAAAUUAAACUUACUGAAGAAGUUGCAAGGGAUAAGCAAAGUUGCUUCUUCUUCAGGAAACAAGUUAGGUUGCAAGAAACACUGACACCAAAGAAGUUGCUUAUUCUAGCUCUUCAGGAAGCUGAGAGAAAUGGAAAUAGCAUAUAUAUUAUCUGCCUUAUCCGUGUGGAGAAUUCAGAGGAUGAGGACCAUACUUCUCAGGUGGCUAAACGUUGAUGCUUUUUGAUCAGGUGGCUAGGCAUUGAUGCUCACUGCAGGUUUCAACUGAAUCACUUUGGUUUACUCCAAAAGAGAGGUAUUAGCUUAUAACUACUAUACACUGUGCUCUUUGGUGUCUGAAGGAAAGAAAUAUGCUCUCAGGUUCAUCGCAAUGGAACUCUAUAAUGUCUGAGAGGUCCUCUAUAGUUCCAUCGUCAGGCUUCCCAAGUUUAAUCUUUCUCCAAGAAUUCAAAAAGUUUCCAUAUGGCGGAAGGGAUGUAACACUUCUGAAGUCAUUUGAGUUCCAAGACCUAUAAUCAUGUGGUCAGUUUUUACCGUUUCAAGUUUCAACAGUGGUCACUCCACUUUGGGUCAGCUUGCAUUCAGUUACAUGCCAGUUAAGUUCAAGUUUCUUCGUGCAAGAGCGUGCACCCGAACAUCACCUCUCAAUUUAGCUAUAGAGAUUCUGAAAUGGAGUGAGGAGAGAACAAACAUAUGCGUGAUGUAUACUCUAUGUCCAGUACUUAUCAAGUUCUUCACAAAUCAGUGUAUUCACAUUAAAAACAAGUCUAAUGUAAAUAGUCACCACUAUCUGGAGUAGAGAUUCUUACACAUUGAUCUUAAUUGUUUGAGAUUCAGUUCAGCGCAUUCAUUUCUUUUUUGAACUUGACCAUUGAAGCUCUUCGCAACUAAACCAUGACUUGAACCCCUCUAACCAUCGACUGUUCUCUUUUUUUUUGUGACUAAUCGACUGUUCUAUAAUGAACGCUGACAUUAACAUUUUAACAAUCUGUGAAACAAAACAACUCAUCCUUCGUAAGUAAUCCUGUUGAGCAGCAUGUAUCAUGAACUAAUAAAAUGUUUUUUUUUGUGCAACAUUAGUUAUCUACUUAAUUAACUUCAUUUGGUAACUAAAUGUCUUUUUUUUAAAAAAAAUUCUCUCGCAAGUUAUCAUGUAAAUACCAUAUGUUUUGAACCAAGUGUUGUCCAAGGUUGAGUCCUCACAAAAAGAGUACGAAAUAUGAGGAAACCAUAAGAGAAGACAAACUAAUACCACAUUAAACAACAACAUGUCAACGUUUUUCAUUUAUGUUCACAAAAAAUUAAAAAAGAGUUUAAAAAUCACAAAAAAUGUAUGAAGUUUAACAAAAACAAUAAAAACUAAAGUUAAUUAGAAGUAAGAAAAAAACUAA
Long non-coding RNA from Brassica rapa (field mustard), 3131 nucleotides. RefSeq lists it as uncharacterized. The record is from RefSeq and is a predicted model, not a curated record. Lineage: Eukaryota; Viridiplantae; Streptophyta; Magnoliopsida; Brassicales; Brassicaceae.